This 203-nucleotide ribosomal RNA is filed under the name uncultured bacterium. RNAcentral describes it as "partial 16S ribosomal RNA". It matches the Rfam family "Bacterial small subunit ribosomal RNA", at positions 524 to 725 of the family's 1533-position model. The record is from RNAcentral.
UACGUAGGGAGCAAGCGUUGUCCGGAAUCAUUGGGCGUAAAGCGCGCGUAGGCGGCCCGGUAAGUCCGUCGUGAAAGUCAAAGGCUCAACCUUUGAAUGUCGAUGGAUACUGCCGGGCUAGAGUCCGGAAGAGGCGAGUGGAAUUCCUGGUGUAGCGGUGGAAUGCGCAGAUAUCAGGAGGAACACCAGUAGGCGAAGGCAGG